This 460-nucleotide ribosomal RNA is filed under the name uncultured bacterium. RNAcentral describes it as "partial 16S ribosomal RNA". It matches the Rfam family "Bacterial small subunit ribosomal RNA", at positions 338 to 795 of the family's 1533-position model. The record is from RNAcentral.
CCUACGGGCGGCAGCAGUGAGGAAUAUUGGUCAAUGGGAGAGAUCCUGAACCAGCCAAGCCGCGUGAGGGAAGACGGCCCUAUGGGUUGUAAACCUCUUUUGUCGGAGAACAAAACCCGGGACGUGUCCCGGACUGCGUGUAUCCGAAGAAAAAGCAUCGGCUAACUCCGUGCCAGCAGCCGCGGUAAUACGGAGGAUGCGAGCGUUAUCCGGAUUUAUUGGGUUUAAAGGGCGUGUAGCCGGGAAGGCAAGUCAGAUGUGAAAUCUGGAGGCUCAACCUCCAAAUUACAUUUGAAACUGUUUUUCUUGAGUACUGGAGAGGCAGACGGAAUUCCUUGUGUAGCGGUGAAAUGCGUAGAUAUAAGGAGGAACACCAGUGGCGAAGGCGGUCUGCUGGACAGCAACUGACGGUGAGGCGCGAAAGCGUGGGGAGCAAACAGGAUUAGAUACCCUGGUAGUC